GAUCUUUCCAUAUUCUAGCAAUAGCAACCAAAGAUGUGAGAAUUUUUACAUUAAAGCCUGUGAGGAAAGAACUGACUUCCUCUGGUGGGCCAACAAAGUUUGAAAUCCAUAUAGUGGCUCAGUUUGAUAAUCAUAAUUCUCAGGUCUGGCGAGUGAGUUGGAAUAUAACAGGAACGGUGCUAGCAUCUUCAGGAGAUGAUGGGUGUGUAAGAUUGUGGAAAGGUAAGAUUUCAGUGAAGGGGUAAUUGUUGGUUUAUAUUUCUGCUCUGGAAUUUUUACUUAAAAUGUAAACUCUGAAAUAUUUUUUAAAAAUGAUGUUUUACAGUUACUUUUAAUGUCAUAUUAAUUUAUGUUAUUUUGAACAUCAGUUUACCUAGUUCAUAGCAGUUAAUGACUGAAUUGUUUUUUAAGUUAUGUGGAACAGAGCAGCUUUCAAAACUAAAGUAAUUACAACCGAAUAUGCAAUAUCUCCAAUAAAAAGAUACCAGUUGUCAUAUAUGUACCUUAUGUGACUGCUCUACAAACUCAGGCUAGGACUGUAGUCGCUCCUAUUUUAUCAAAUAAAUUGCUUUAGACAAUCCGUCCUUAAUAGGAGAAAAUCCAGUAUCUUCCCUGCUUCUUCUCUGCAGCUCCCAAAAGUUAAGAGCCUUGGGGGCCCUGAUUGUAAGUUUCUUCUAAGUGCCAGGCUGAGUGAGAAGGUCUGGUCAGUUGACACUGACUGUGGUCUCUGUAGCUUGGUUCUGCACUUCUCCUUGGAUGAUUAU
This 764-nucleotide small RNA is filed under the name Pongo abelii (Sumatran orangutan). RNAcentral's name for it is "retained intron". The record is from RNAcentral. Lineage: Eukaryota; Metazoa; Chordata; Mammalia; Primates; Hominidae.